Molecule: ribosomal RNA, 761 nt
Filed under: uncultured bacterium
Lineage: Bacteria
Description: bacterial SSU rRNA
Rfam family: Bacterial small subunit ribosomal RNA
Source: RNAcentral
UGCCACGCUGAUGCGAUUUCGGUCAAAUCAUGUGGCAUUCGAGUGGCGGACGGGUGAGUAACGCGUGGGUAACCUGCCUUACACAGGGGGAUAACACCUGGAAACAGGUGCUAAUACCGCAUAAGCGCACAGGGCCGCAUGGCCCGGUGUGAAAAACUCCGGUGGUGUAAGAUGGACCCGCGUCUGAUUAGCUUGUUGGCGGGGUAGGGGCCCACCAAGGCGACGAUCAGUAGCCGGCCUGAGAGGGUGGACGGCCACAUUGGGACUGAGACACGGCCCAAACUCCUACGGGAGGCAGCAGUGGGGGAUAUUGGACAAUGGGGGAAACCCUGAUCCAGCGACGCCGCGUGAGUGAAGAAGUAUUUCGGUAUGUAAAGCUCUGUCAGCAGGGAAGAAAGAAAUGACGGUACCUGACCAAGAAGCCCCGGCUAACUACGUGCCAGCAGCCGCGGUAAUACGUAGGGGGCAAGCGUUAUCCGGAAUUACUGGGUGUAAAGGGAGCGUAGACGGUGAUGCAAGUCUGGAGUGAAAGGCGGGGGCCCAACCCCCGGACUGCUCUGGAAACUGUGUAACUUGAGUGCAGGAGAGGUAAGCGGAAUUCCUAGUGUAGCGGUGAAAUGCGUAGAUAUUAGGAGGAACACCAGUGGCGAAGGCGGCUUACUGGACUGUAACUGACGUUGAGGCUCGAAAGCGUGGGGAGCAAACAGGAUUAGAUACCCUGGUAGUCCACGCCGUAAACGAUGAUUACUAGGUGUCGGUGG